GAUCAGCCAUGCCGCGUGCAGGAAGACAGCUUUCUGAGUUGUAAACUGCUUUUAUAUGGGAAAAAAAAGGCCUUGCGAGGCAAAUUGCCGGUACCAUAUGAAUAAGCACCGGCUAACUCCGUGCCAGCAGCCGCGGUAAUACGGAGGGUGCAAGCGUUGUCCGGAUUUAUUGGGUUUAAAGGGUGCGUAGGCGGAUCUUUAAGUCAGUGGUGAAAUCCUGCAGCUUAACUGUAGAACUGCCAUUGAUACUGGAGGUCUUGAGUAUACUAGAGGUAGGCGGAAUUUAUGGUGUAGCGGUGAAAUGCAUAGAUACCAUAAAGAACACCAAUAGCGUAGGCAGCUUACUUGAGUAUAACUGACGCUGAGGCACGAAAGCAUGGGUAGCGAACAGGAUUAGAUACCCUGGUAGUCCAUGCCGUAAACGAUGAUUACUCGAUGUUGGCGAUAUACUGUCAGCGUCCAAGCGAAAGCGUUAAGUAAUCCACCUGGGGAGUACGCUCGCAAGAGUGAAACU
RNAcentral lists this ribosomal RNA (514 nucleotides) under uncultured bacterium. RNAcentral describes it as "bacterial SSU rRNA". It matches the Rfam family "Bacterial small subunit ribosomal RNA", at positions 385 to 901 of the family's 1533-position model. The record is from RNAcentral.